AGGACGAACGCUGGCGGCGUGCUUAACACAUGCAAGUCGAGCGGAAAGGCCCUUCGGGGUACUCGAGCGGCGAACGGGUGAGUAACACGUGAGCAACCUGCCCUUAGCUUCGGGAUAGCUCCGGGAAACCGGAAUUAAUACCGAAUAUGAUUUUUGCUGACAUCAGCAGAAGUGGAAAGUUUUUCGGCUAGGGAUGGACUCGCGGCCUAUCAGCUAGUUGGUGAGGUAACGGCCCACCAAGGCGACGACGGGUAGCCGGCCUGAGAGGGCGACCGGCCACACUGGGACUGAGACACGGCCCAGACUCCUACGGGAGGCAGCAGUGGGGAAUAUUGCGCAAUGGGCGAAAGCCUGACGCAGCGACGCCGCGUGGGGGAUGAAGCCCCUUGGGGUGUAAACUCCUUUCGACCAAGACGAUAAUGACGGUACUGGUGGAAGAAGCACCGGCUAACUCUGUGCCAGCAGCCGC
RNAcentral lists this ribosomal RNA (469 nucleotides) under uncultured bacterium. RNAcentral describes it as "SSU rRNA". It matches the Rfam family "Bacterial small subunit ribosomal RNA", at positions 26 to 518 of the family's 1533-position model. The record is from RNAcentral.